Molecule: long non-coding RNA, 465 nt
Filed under: Sinocyclocheilus grahami
Lineage: Eukaryota; Metazoa; Chordata; Actinopteri; Cypriniformes; Cyprinidae
Description: lncRNA (ENSSGRG00000047454.1)
Source: RNAcentral
AUAGCAAUUGCAUAGCAGCAUGCUAGAAACACUCAGAACACCCUAGAAACUGCAAUGCCUUGACAACAACCCUAACAUAGUGUCAAUGAAUUUUGCAUAUAGCAUAUACAGUGUGUGUGUGUGUGUGUGUGUGUGUAUGUAUAUCAGGCUCUUAUGCAUGUGUACUUUGGGCUUCCUGCCAUAUUGUCGAAUUGAAAUGUUCUGAUCUGUAGCAUUCUACUCUUCCCACCUGUCCCGAGCCGACUUCGCUUCCUGAUUCACCAAACCUGCACGAAUCAUCCCAACCUCAGCACCUUCUCCGUGGGCGAGGGCUGCGCACGCAGAGUUGUAGUGUGCUGUUCAGACCUCAGGUUGCCAGAAGAAGACCAGAGAGAUGUGGAGGGCAGUUCCCAUGGGCGAGCACGCAGUACUCAAAGGGGUUGACCAAACAGUCUAUGGGGUUGACUGACAAAAUGUUUGGGAGUC